CUGCAUGCUGUUGGCGCGUGUUGGGAAACCAAGACGCGUCGAGCACGCCACCCUUGUCUAUCUCUACCCUUUGUUACUUCCCUCGGCGGGGCAACUCGCCGCAAGGGAACUCUACAACCUUUUUUUUAGUAUCUCAACUCUGAAGAUUUUAUAAAAAUCA
This 160-nucleotide unclassified non-coding RNA is filed under the name uncultured fungus. Its description in RNAcentral is "sequence contains ITS1, 5.8S rRNA gene". The record is from RNAcentral. Lineage: Eukaryota; Fungi.